This 1372-nucleotide ribosomal RNA is filed under the name uncultured bacterium. RNAcentral's name for it is "bacterial SSU rRNA". It matches the Rfam family "Bacterial small subunit ribosomal RNA", at positions 28 to 1381 of the family's 1533-position model. The record is from RNAcentral.
GAUAAACGCUGGCGGCGUGCCUAAUACAUGCAAGUCGAGCGAACGGACGAGAGGCUUGCUUCUCUGAUGUUAGCGGCGGACGGGUGAGUAACACGUGGAUAACCUACCUAUAAGACUGGGAUAACUUCGGGAAACCGGAGCUAAUACCGGAUAAUAUUUUGAACCGCAUGGUUCAAAAGUGAAAGACGGUCUUGCUGUCACUUAUAGAUGGAUCCGCGCUGCAUUAGCUAGUUGGUAAGGUAACGGCUUACCAAGGCAACGAUGCAUAGCCGACCUGAGAGGGUGAUCGGCCACACUGGAACUGAGACACGGUCCAGACUCCUACGGGAGGCAGCAGUAGGGAAUCUUCCGCAAUGGGCGAAAGCCUGACGGAGCAACGCCGCGUGAGUGAUGAAGGUCUUCGGAUCGUAAAACUCUGUUAUUAGGGAAGAACAUAUGUGUAAGUAACUGUGCACAUCUUGACGGUACCUAAUCAGAAAGCCACGGCUAACUACGUGCCAGCAGCCGCGGUAAUACGUAGGUGGCAAGCGUUAUCCGGAAUUAUUGGGCGUAAAGCGCGCGUAGGCGGUUUUUUAAGUCUGAUGUGAAAGCCCACGGCUCAACCGUGGAGGGUCAUUGGAAACUGGAAAACUUGAGUGCAGAAGAGGAAAGUGGAAUUCCAUGUGUAGCGGUGAAAUGCGCAGAGAUAUGGAGGAACACCAGUGGCGAAGGCGACUUUCUGGUCUGUAACUGACGCUGAUGUGCGAAAGCGUGGGGAUCAAACAGGAUUAGAUACCCUGGUAGUCCACGCCGUAAACGAUGAGUGCUAAGUGUUAGGGGGUUUCCGCCCUUUAGUGCUGCAGCUAACGCAUUAAGCACUCCGCCUGGGGAGUACGACCGCAAGGUUGAAACUCAAAGGAAUUGACGGGGACCCGCACAAGCGGUGGAGCAUGUGGUUUAAUUCGAAGCAACGCGAAGAACCUUACCAAAUCUUGACAUCCUUUGACAACUCUAGAGAUAGAGCCUUCCCCUUCGGGGGACAAAGUGACAGGUGGUGCAUGGUUGUCGUCAGCUCGUGUCGUGAGAUGUUGGGUUAAGUCCCGCAACGAGCGCAACCCUUAAGCUUAGUUGCCAUCAUUAAGUUGGGCACUCUAAGUUGACUGCCGGUGACAAACCGGAGGAAGGUGGGGAUGACGUCAAAUCAUCAUGCCCCUUAUGAUUUGGGCUACACACGUGCUACAAUGGACAAUACAAAGGGCAGCGAAACCGCGAGGUCAAGCAAAUCCCAUAAAGUUGUUCUCAGUUCGGAUUGUAGUCUGCAACUCGACUACAUGAAGCUGGAAUCGCUAGUAAUCGUAGAUCAGCAUGCUACGGUGAAUACGUUCCCGGGUCU